CUCAGAAUCAAAGGACCAUAUUCAUAUUGACAGUUAAGCUCUUAUAAUGGAAGUAACCUCAUUCAACUCUUCUUAGAAGUAAAUGAUGGACAAGUAGAUAAUCUUUGGCAAUCCUUUCCAGUUUUGUUUACACAUAGGUUUCUUUUUCCCCCUGAAGAACUAACAAGAAAAAGCCAGAUUCAAUUACUAUGAUUUGGCAGCUUGAAACAACAAACUGGUUUUUCCUGCUCCUGAGCUGAAAUUUCAAUUAAAUAGUUUUAAAAGCUAUGAUGGCAUAGGAACAAAAUAUUUGUCAAGUGACACCUGGAAACCUGCAGCUUAAUUCUCUAAGCACUGAAAUUUUUUUCAAUAUUUUAACCAUUUUGAGCAGAAAUUCCUUAAAAAUGUCUAUCAACAUAGUCCCUGCCCUCUUUCUUUCUUGUUUGUUGUCUUUUCAUUAUUUUCUCCUGGGUUUUCUAACAACGUCUGACCUUUAUCCAUUAAAGUCUACCAGCUUGGCACUGUCUGAAGAUAUUGAUCUAGAGAAUGUCAUUUUGUGUGCAUAAUGUUUGCAGCGUCAACUGCACUAAACAUAAUUUGAUCUGGCCUUAAUUUCUCUGGGGCAUCAUAGGGAAUCCCAGUUAUUGUACAAUAUCAUAAUGCACUCAUGCCUUCAAUAGGGUUGCCACAUUUAGCAAAUAAAAUUACAGGACAUCCAGUUAAAUUAGAAUUUCUGAUAAUCAAUGAAUUUUUUAAAGUAUAUCCG
RNAcentral lists this long non-coding RNA (745 nucleotides) under Homo sapiens (human). RNAcentral describes it as "long non-coding RNA NONHSAT149455.1". Lineage: Eukaryota; Metazoa; Chordata; Mammalia; Primates; Hominidae. The record is from RNAcentral.